CCUACGGGGGGCUGCAGUGAGGAAUAUUGGUCAAUGGCCGGAAGGCUGAACCAGCCAAGUCGCGUGAGGGAAUAAGGCCCUAUGGGUCGUAAACCUCUUUUGUCAGGGAGCAAAGGCGUCCACGUGUAGACGAGAGGAGAGUACCUGAAGAAAACGCAUCGGCUAACUCCGUGCCAGCAGCCGCGGUAAUACGGAGGAGGCGAGCGUUAGCCGGAUUUAUUGGGUUUAAGGGGAGCGUAGGCCGGCUUUUAAGUCAGCUGUGAAAGUCCGCGGCUCCACCGUGGAAUUGCAGUUGAAACUGGAGGCCUUGAGUGCACACAGGGAGGCAGGAAUGCAUGGUGGAGCGGUGAAAUGCUUAGAUAUCAUGAAGAACACCGAUUGCGAAGGCAGUUCACUGAACUGCAACUGACACUGAGGCUCGAAAGUGUGGGUAUCAAACAGGAUUAGAUACCCCUGUAGUC
RNAcentral lists this ribosomal RNA (461 nucleotides) under uncultured bacterium. Its description in RNAcentral is "partial 16S ribosomal RNA". It matches the Rfam family "Bacterial small subunit ribosomal RNA", at positions 338 to 795 of the family's 1533-position model. The record is from RNAcentral.